RNAcentral lists this ribosomal RNA (777 nucleotides) under uncultured Neocallimastigales. Its description in RNAcentral is "partial large subunit ribosomal RNA". It matches the Rfam family "Eukaryotic large subunit ribosomal RNA", at positions 24 to 645 of the family's 3401-position model. Lineage: Eukaryota; Fungi; Neocallimastigomycota; Neocallimastigomycetes; Neocallimastigales. The record is from RNAcentral.
CAUCACUACGCUAGAUGCAUAUCAAUAAGCGGAGGAAAAGAAACUAACAAGGAUUCCCUUAGUAACGGCGAGUGAAGCGGGAAGAGCUCAAAUUUGAAAUCUUCAAGGUUCUACCUUGACGAAUUGUAGUUUAUAGAAGUGUUUUCUGUUAGUAGAGUGGCAAAAGUUCUUUGGAAUAGGACAUCAUAGAGGGUGAGAAUCCCGUAUUUGGUCAUUCUUUCUAGCUUUGUGAUACACUUUCAACGAGUCGGAUUGUUUGGGAAUGCAGUCCAAAAUGGGUGGUAAAUUUCAUCUAAAGCUAAAUAUUGGCGAGAGACCGAUAGCGAACAAGUACCGUGAGGGAAAGAUGAAAAGAACUUUGAAAAGAGAGUUAAACAGUACGUGAAAUUGUCAAAAGGGAAGCGUUUGACACCAGUGUUGUUUUUCCGAAAAUCAAUUACGAAUGUUUUGUUUUUGAGGAGUUAUGACUUCAUCGGCUUGCUCCUUUCUUUAUGAAACUUUCUUAAUGCACUUUUCGGUUAACAAGUCAACAUCAAUUUCUUUUGUUGUAAAAGGGUAUGAGGAAGGUGGCUUACUCUUUCGGCGUAAAGUGUUUAUAGCCUUGUAGCCUCUGCAAUCGGAGAGAUUGAGGACAGCAGCGUAGACUCUUCGGGGUUAGAUACACUUGUACCAAGCUAUAGCCUUGUAUAGACAACUUGUUGACUAUGCUCAGUCAUGUAGCUUACUCGCUUGUGCUAUUUUACCUACGCUUAGGAUGUUGAUCUCUCACAGUCGAGC